GACGAACGCUUUUGGCGUGCUUAACACAUGCAAGUCGAACGGAAAGGCCCUGCUUUUGUGGGGUGCUCGAGUGGCGAACGGGUGAGUAACACGUGAGUAACCUGCCCUUGACUUUGGGAUAACUUCAGGAAACUGGGGCUAAUACCGGAUAGGAGCUCCUGCUGCAUGGUGGGGGUUGGAAAGUUUCGGCGGUUGGGGAUGGACUCGCGGCUUAUCAGCUUGUUGGUGGGGUAGUGGCUUACCAAGGCUUUGACGGGUAGCCGGCCUGAGAGGGUGACCGGCCACAUUGGGACUGAGAUACGGCCCAGACUCCUACGGGAGGCAGCAGUGGGGAAUAUUGCACAAUGGGCGGAAGCCUGAUGCAGCAACGCCGCGUGCGGGAUGACGGCCUUCGGGUUGUAAACCGCUUUCGCCUGUGACGAAGCGUGAGUGACGGUAAUGGGUAAAGAAGCACCGGCUAACUACGUGCCAGCAGCCGCGGUGAUACGUAGGGUGCGAGCGUUGUCCGGAUUUAUUGGGCGUAAAGGGCUCGUAGGUGGUUGAUCGCGUCGGAAGUGUAAUCUUGGGGCUUAACCCUGAGCGUGCUUUCGAUACGGGUUGACUUGAGGAAGGUAGGGGAGAAUGGAAUUCCUGGUGGAGCGGUGGAAUGCGCAGAUAUCAGGAGGAACACCAGUGGCGAAGGCGGUUCUCUGGGCCUUUCCUGACGCUGAGGAGCGAAAGCGUGGGGAGCGAACAGGCUUAGAUACCCUGGUAGUCCACGCUGUAAACGGUGGGUACUAGGUGUGGGGUCCAUUCCACGGGUUCCGUGCCGUAGCUAACGCUUUAAGUACCCCGCCUGGGGAGUACGGCCGCAAGGCUAAAACUCAAAGGAAUUGACGGGGCCCCGCACAAGCGGCGGAGCAUGCGGAUUAAUUCGAUGCAACGCGUAGAACCUUACCUGGGUUUGACAUGGAUCGGGAGUGCUCAGAGAUGGGUGUGCCUCUUUUGGGGUCGGUUCACAGGUGGUGCAUGGCUGUCGUCAGCUCGUGUCGUGAGAUGUUGGGUUAAGUCCCGCAACGAGCGCAACCCUUGUUCACUGUUGCCAGCACGUUAUGGUGGGGACUCAGUGGAGACCGCCGGGGUCAACUCGGAGGAAGGUGGGGAUGACGUCAAGUCAUCAUGCCCCUUAUGUCCAGGGCUUCACGCAUGCUACAAUGGCUGGUACAGAGAGUGGCGAGCCUGUGAGGGUGAGCGAAUCUCGGAAAGCCGGUCUCAGUUCGGAUUGGGGUCUGCAACUCGACCUCAUGAAGUCGGAGUCGCUAGUAAUCGCAGAUCAGCAACGCUGCGGUGAAUACGUUCCCGGGGCUUGUACACACCGCCCGUCAAGUCAUGAAAGUUGGUAACACCCGAAGCCGGUGGCCUAACCAAUGUGGGGGAGCCGUCGAAGGUGGGACUGGUGAUUAGGCC
This 1446-nucleotide ribosomal RNA is filed under the name uncultured organism. Its description in RNAcentral is "partial small subunit ribosomal RNA". It matches the Rfam family "Bacterial small subunit ribosomal RNA". The record is from RNAcentral.